AUUGAAAUUACUGAUCAUAUGGUAAGUGUAAGCUUUUUUUUUUUUGAGAAACUGCCAAAUUGUUUGCAAAUUGGGUGCACCAUUUUACAUUCCUACCAGUAGU
RNAcentral lists this microRNA precursor (103 nucleotides) under Marmota monax (woodchuck). The record is from RNAcentral. Lineage: Eukaryota; Metazoa; Chordata; Mammalia; Rodentia; Sciuridae.